Small nuclear RNA from Balaenoptera musculus (blue whale), 103 nucleotides. Lineage: Eukaryota; Metazoa; Chordata; Mammalia; Artiodactyla; Balaenopteridae. The record is from Ensembl.
AGUUCUGAGCUUGGCAACAGCAUACUAAAAUUGGAACAAUUGGAGAUUAGCAUGGCACCUGGGCAAGGAUGGCACACACAUUUGUAAAGAAUUUCAUAUUUUU